AGUGAACGCUGGCGGUAGGCCUAACACAUGCAAGUCGAACGGCAGCACAGUAAGAGCUUGCUCUUACGGGUGGCGAGUGGCGGACGGGUGAGGAAUACAUCUGAAUCUACUUUUUCGUGGGGGAUAACGUAGGGAAACUUACACUAAUACCGCAUACGACCUACGGGUGAAAGCAGGGGAUCUUCGGACCUUGCGCGAUUGAAUGAGCCGAUGUCGGAUUAGCUAGUUGGCGGGGUAAAGGCCCACCAAGGCGACGAUCCGUAGCUGGUCUGAGAGGAUGAUCAGCCACACUGGAACUGAGACACGGUCCAGACUCCUACGGGAGGCAGCAGUGGGGAAUAUUGGACAAUGGGCGCAAGCCUGAUCCAGCCAUACCGCGUGGGUGAAGAAGGCCUUCGGGUUGUAAAGCCCUUUUGUUGGGAAAGAAAAGCAGCAGGUUAAUACCCCGCUGUUCUGACGGUACCCAAAGAAUAAGCACCGGCUAACUUCGUG
RNAcentral lists this ribosomal RNA (492 nucleotides) under uncultured bacterium. RNAcentral describes it as "partial 16S ribosomal RNA". It matches the Rfam family "Bacterial small subunit ribosomal RNA", at positions 29 to 507 of the family's 1533-position model. The record is from RNAcentral.